RNAcentral lists this ribosomal RNA (251 nucleotides) under uncultured bacterium. RNAcentral describes it as "partial 16S ribosomal RNA". It matches the Rfam family "Bacterial small subunit ribosomal RNA", at positions 524 to 776 of the family's 1533-position model. The record is from RNAcentral.
UACGAGGGGGGCAAGCGUUGUUCGGAAUUAUUGGGCGUAAAGGGCGCGUAGGCGGUUUGACAAGUCUGAUGUGAAAUCUCUGGGCUCAACCCAGAGUCUGCAUUAGAAACUGUCGGGCUUGAGUAUGGGAGAGGUGAGUGGAAUUUCCGGUGUAGCGGUGAAAUGCGUAGAUAUCGGAAGGAACACCUGUGGCGAAAGCGGCUCACUGGACCAACUGACGCUGAGGCGCGAAAGCUAGGGGAGCGAAUGGG